AGGAAAGUUAAUCUGACAAAAAGGGCUUUGAAGGAAGAAAUUACUCUGCUUGAUACCCUACAAAAUGGAGAGAACACUUGGAACAAGUGACACAUUAUUGUCUCAUUAAAUUUUCAACGUCGCAGUGCCGGAGGUGUCAUCAACCCAUGUCGUGAAAGUUCAGUCACAAGCUAAUAGGAGGAUCUCCACUUAUAGUUCUCAAUGCGUACCAUUCCGUAUGUUGGAAGCAUUCUUGUAACCUUACCUUAACUGCCUGCGGAAUGGUGUCAAUAAACGU
Molecule: long non-coding RNA, 277 nt
Organism: Xenopus laevis (African clawed frog)
Lineage: Eukaryota; Metazoa; Chordata; Amphibia; Anura; Pipidae
Exons: 2
Source: RefSeq, a predicted model, not a curated record